CCUACGGGAGGCUGCAGUGGGGAAUAUUGGACAAUGGGGGGAACCCUGAUCCAGCCAUGCCGCGUGUGUGAAGAAGGCCCUCGGGUUGUAAAGCACUUUCAGUGAGGAAGAACGCCUGGUGGUUAAUACCCAUCAGGAAAGACAUCACUCACAGAAGAAGCACCGGCUAACUCCGUGCCAGCAGCCGCGGUAAUACGGAGGGUGCGAGCGUUAAUCGGAAUUACUGGGCGUAAAGCGCGCGUAGGUGGCUUGAUAAGCCGGUUGUGAAAGCCCCGGGCUCAACCUGGGAACGGCAUCCGGAACUGUCAAGCUAGAGUGCAGGAGAGGAAGGUAGAACUCCCGGUGUAGCGGUGAAAUGCGUAGAGAUCGGGAGGAAUACCAGUGGCGAAGGCGGCCUUCUGGACUGACACUGACACUGAGGUGCGAAAGCGUGGGUAGCAAACAGGAUUAGAUACCCGAGUAGUC
RNAcentral lists this ribosomal RNA (465 nucleotides) under Vreelandella stevensii. RNAcentral's name for it is "partial 16S ribosomal RNA". It matches the Rfam family "Bacterial small subunit ribosomal RNA", at positions 338 to 795 of the family's 1533-position model. Lineage: Bacteria; Pseudomonadati; Pseudomonadota; Gammaproteobacteria; Oceanospirillales; Halomonadaceae. The record is from RNAcentral.